Molecule: non-coding RNA, 415 nt
Organism: Cherax quadricarinatus
Lineage: Eukaryota; Metazoa; Arthropoda; Malacostraca; Decapoda; Parastacidae
Source: RefSeq, a predicted model, not a curated record
GAGCGGAUGGAUUCCUGGAUACAUGAACCUGAGCAAGGCAAGAAUACAUGCAGUUGAGGCUAACCUUGGGUAAGUGGGGAAGGGAAGAUAUCCGGCGGUAGACGGAAGGAUUCCUGGAUACAUGAUCCUGCGGACGGCAAGAAUACCGCUGACCUUGGGGAAGUGGGGAAGGGAGUUCACCUGAGGUGACAUAAGUGGAUUCCUGGAGACACUGAUCCGGGGAAGGCACCGCCGACCUUAGGGAAAUGGGGAAGGGAAGACAUCCGGAGCGAGCGGAUGGAUUCCUGGAUACAUGAACUUGAGGAAGGCAAGAAUACAUGCAGUUGAGGCUGACCUUGGGUAAGUGGGGAAGGGAAGAUAUCCGGCGGUAGACGGAAGGAUUCCUGGAUACAUGAACCUGGGGACAGCAAGAAAA